GUGAGGAAUUUUCCGCAAUGGGCGAAAGCCUGACGGAGCAAUGCCGCGUGAAGGAUGAAGGCCUAUGGGUUGUAAACUUCUUUUCUCAGAAAAGAAUUAUGACGGUAUCUGAGGAAUAAGCAUCGGCUAACUCUGUGCCAGCAGCCGCGGUAAGACAGAGGAUGCAAGCGUUAUCCGGAAUGAUUGGGCGUAAAGCGUCUGUAGGUUGUUUAAAAAGUAUUCUGUCAAAGAUUAGGGCUUAACCCUAGAUAGGCAGAAUAAACUUUUAAGCUAGAGUUUGGUAGAGGCAGAGGAAAUUCCCGGUGGAGCGGUGAAAUGCGUAGAUAUCGGGAGGAACACCAAAGGCGAAGGCACUCUGCUGGGCCAAUACUAACACUGAGAGACGAAAGCGAGGGGAGCAAAUGGGAUUAGAAACCCGAGUAGUCC
This 426-nucleotide ribosomal RNA is filed under the name uncultured bacterium. RNAcentral's name for it is "partial 16S ribosomal RNA". It matches the Rfam family "Bacterial small subunit ribosomal RNA", at positions 354 to 796 of the family's 1533-position model. The record is from RNAcentral.